Molecule: long non-coding RNA, 1342 nt
Filed under: Brassica rapa (field mustard)
Lineage: Eukaryota; Viridiplantae; Streptophyta; Magnoliopsida; Brassicales; Brassicaceae
Description: long non-coding RNA (BRAP_LNC005184)
Source: RNAcentral
UCACAGCUGUGAAUACCGCCCUGAGUUCGAUUUCUCUUGGCCAUCCGGAACGUUUUAAGUGGUAAGAAAACGCGGAUCCUGCGGACUUCGUAGUGAUUAGUCUUUGUGCCUAGAAAGAUUUUGGAUCACACUAUGGUUAUCAAAAAAAAAAAAAUGUGUGGAAAGACAAACGUAUGUUUCAAAGUGUCAUUUAUUUCCAUUUGAGAAAUAUACCAAUUUAAUUUCUAUAAUUUACCUUCAUUUUCUUGUAACUGAAAAUUAAAACUUAGCAUAAUUUUCUAUUUUUUAUUUCUUAAAAUUUAGUUACAAAUUUUAAAAUUGUGCUUAAGAUCUAUUUAUGAACUUUAUAAAAUUUUAUUUAAUUUCCAAGAAAAAAAAAUUUAAAUUUGAUUGCAGUCUAAAACCUCGACAAACCGGCGACGGUGUGUAAACAGUCGGAGCUGUGGUGAUGCAUGCCGAAAUUGGCUCAUCCGGAGCAGAGGUAUCUCACUCGCUUUCUCUCUUCUCUCGUUUCGUCUCACUGUUUACCUUUUCCGUGACUACUAAGCGUGAUUGUGAUUUUGAUCUCCUUAAUUUGAAUUUAUAGUUCUCUGGAUAGUCUCUGGUGAAGUGAAGUGUAUGGAGAGUUCUGAGGAAGAUUUUGAUGAUUCCGAUGAAUGGAGUUUCUAGUGGUAUGUGAGCUUCUUUGGGAUCAGAUUAGGAAUCAGAAUUCUCAUUUUGAGCAUUUUCAUUCCUUUUAGUAUCUCUCCUAAUCAUUUUUGGCAUCUAACCUUUUUCUGAAGGAUGGGAAGCUGGCCACGCUAAAAUACAAGCAGAUACAUUUAUCUUUUAUGUUACAUCCUUUCAACUGUGAACCACACUUAAGUCUUAUUAGCAGAGGCUUCAUUAGCUUGAAAGUUGAAAACCAAAUCAUAAUCAUGGUUUCCUUAAUUGAACCACCCAGGAAUUGGUAACUCAGUGCUGUUGUGGCAGGAUGUCACAAAUGUUCCCGUGCUACACUUGUAUAAUCAUUUUGGAGGCAAGAAAACAAAACUGCCUGAGAUGGUAGGCUCCUCUUAGAUCGAUUUAAUCGGACAGGAGCAGCUUCAACUUCCUGUAAACCAGAAAGCUCGUAACUUGCUUGCAGAUGUUGAAACCAAGUCGGUCUUUUCUUAUUUGAGCAGUCACAUCAGCGUGAAAUUACUGUGCUUAUUCACUUUAAGUUCAAUUGUGCUGUUUUACAGUAUGUCGUGUCCAAUCUUUUGCACCGGUGGUUGAAAUUUUUUGCUGACUGCCUGCUUGAAGGCAACCUCACAGAGGGAGCCAGCAACCACGAUAAAAAUAAUCGGUAUAACUAAGGCCA